AGCAGCAUUGCUUGGUGGAAAGAGCCCGGACUUGGGAGUCAGAGGUCGUGGGUUCGAAUCCCACCUCUGCUA
Molecule: non-coding RNA, 72 nt
Organism: Ornithorhynchus anatinus (platypus)
Lineage: Eukaryota; Metazoa; Chordata; Mammalia; Monotremata; Ornithorhynchidae
Source: Rfam